Molecule: non-coding RNA, 74 nt
Organism: Polaribacter sp. Hel1_85
Lineage: Bacteria; Pseudomonadati; Bacteroidota; Flavobacteriia; Flavobacteriales; Flavobacteriaceae
Source: Rfam
GGUCUGGUAGUUCAGCUGGUUAGAAUACCUGCCUGUCACGCAGGGGGUCGCGGGUUCGAGUCCCGUCCAGACCG